CAGAGAAUAGUUUAAUUUAAAAUGCCAGCUUUGGGGGUUGGUGAUAAAGGUUUAGUCCUUUUUUUCUGA
This 69-nucleotide transfer RNA is filed under the name Grallaria varia (variegated antpitta). RNAcentral's name for it is "tRNA-Pro". It matches the Rfam family "tRNA". Rfam says of the family: Transfer RNA (tRNA) molecules are approximately 80 nucleotides in length. Their secondary structure includes four short double-helical elements and three loops (D, anti-codon, and T loops). Further hydrogen bonds mediate the characteristic L-shaped molecular structure. tRNAs have two regions of fundamental functional importance: the anti-codon, which is responsible for specific mRNA codon recognition, and the 3' end, to which the tRNAs corresponding amino acid is attached (by aminoacyl-tRNA synthetases). tRNAs cope with the degeneracy of the genetic code in two manners: having more than one tRNA (with a specific anti-codon) for a particular amino acid; and 'wobble' base-pairing, i.e. permitting non-standard base-pairing at the 3rd anti-codon position. The record is from RNAcentral. Lineage: Eukaryota; Metazoa; Chordata; Aves; Passeriformes; Formicariidae.